GAUGAACGCUGGCGGCGUGCCUAAUACAUGCAAGUCGAGCGAACGGACGAGAAGCUUGCUUCUCUGAUGUUAGCGGCGGACGGGUGAGUAACACGUGGACAACCUACCUAUAAGACUGGGAUAACUUCGGGAAACCGGAGCUAAUACCGGAUAAUAUUUUGAACCGCAUGGUUCAAAAGUGAAAGACGGUCUUGCUGUCACUUAUAGAUGGAUCCGCGCUGCAUUAGCUAGUUGGUAAGGUAACGGCUUACCAAGGCAACGAUGCAUAGCCGACCUGAGAGGGUGAUCGGCCACACUGGAACUGAGACACGGUCCAGACUCCUACGGGAGGCAGCAGUAGGGAAUCUUCCGCAAUGGGCGAAAGCCUGACGGAGCAACGCCGCGUGAGUGAUAAAGGUCUUCGGAUCGUAAAACUCUGUUAUUAGGGAAGAACAUAUGUGUAAGUAACUGUGCACAUCUUGACGGUACCUAAUCAGAAAGCCACGGCUAACUACGUG
RNAcentral lists this ribosomal RNA (497 nucleotides) under uncultured bacterium. RNAcentral describes it as "partial 16S ribosomal RNA". It matches the Rfam family "Bacterial small subunit ribosomal RNA", at positions 28 to 507 of the family's 1533-position model. The record is from RNAcentral.